This 355-nucleotide ribosomal RNA is filed under the name uncultured bacterium. Its description in RNAcentral is "bacterial SSU rRNA". It matches the Rfam family "Bacterial small subunit ribosomal RNA", at positions 917 to 1271 of the family's 1533-position model. The record is from RNAcentral.
GGGCCCGCACAAGCGGUGGAGUAUGUGGUUUAAUUCGAUGCAACGCGAAGAACCUUACCAGGGUUUGACAUCCUGCGAAUCUCUUGGAAACGAGAGAGUGCCUUCGGGAACGCAGUGACAGGUGGUGCAUGGCUGUCGUCAGCUCGUGUCGUGAGAUGUUGGGUUAAGUCCCGCAACGAGCGCAACCCACGUCUUUAGUUGCCAGCACAUUAUGGUGGGAACUCUAACGAAACUGCCAGUGCAAACUGUGAGGAAGGUGGGGAUGACGUCAAAUCAUCACGGCCCUUACGUCCUGGGCUACACACGUGCUACAAUGGCCGGUACAGAGAGCAGCCACUUCGCAAGAAGGAGCGAA